UCGUGAUAUGCUUGUCUCAAAGAUUAAGCCAUGCAUGUGUAGGUAUAACCUGUAUACCGGAAAACUGCGAAUGGCUCGGUAAAUCAGUUAUAGUUUAUUUGAUAGUGCAACUACUCGGAUAACCGUAGUAACACUAGAGCUAAUACGUGCGUAAAUCCCGACUUUCGGAAGGGACGUAUUUAUUAGAUCCAUGGCUAACCGGGCUUGCCCGACCAGCGGUGAAUCAUGGUAACUUGACGGAUUGCAUUGGCCUCCGUGCCGGCGACGUGUCAUUCAAGUUUCUGCCCCAUCAGGUUUCGACUGUAGUGUAUUGGACUACAGUGCCUAUAACGGGUAGCGGAGGAUUAGGGUUCGAUUCCGGAGAGGGAGCCUGAGAAACGGCUACCACAUCCAAGGAAGGCAGCAGGCGCGCAAAUUACCCAAUCCCAACUUAGGGAGGUAGUGACAAGAAAUAGCAAUGCGGGGCCAUUGUGUUCUGCAAUUGGAAUGAGAACAACCUAAACCACUUAACGAGUAUCAAUUGGAGGGCAAGUCUGGUGCCAGCAGCCGCGGUAAUUCCAGCUCCAAUAGCGUAUAUGUAAGUUGUUGCGAUUAAAAAGCCCGUAGCUGAACCUCGGGGAGCCGUGACGGUCCGCCUAUGGUGAGUACUGUCGUCGGCUCUCUUUCUGUUGGGUGCUGUAUCCGGCGUUAACUCGCCGCGAACGGAGCCCAG
This 712-nucleotide ribosomal RNA is filed under the name uncultured Cladophora. RNAcentral describes it as "SSU rRNA". It matches the Rfam family "Eukaryotic small subunit ribosomal RNA", at positions 21 to 739 of the family's 1831-position model. Lineage: Eukaryota; Viridiplantae; Chlorophyta; Ulvophyceae; Cladophorales; Cladophoraceae. The record is from RNAcentral.